This 497-nucleotide ribosomal RNA is filed under the name uncultured bacterium. RNAcentral's name for it is "partial 16S ribosomal RNA". It matches the Rfam family "Bacterial small subunit ribosomal RNA", at positions 28 to 507 of the family's 1533-position model. The record is from RNAcentral.
GACGAACGCUGGCGGCGUGCCUAAUACAUGCAAGUUGAGCGCUGAAGGUUGGUACUUGUACCAACUGGAUGAGCAGCGAACGGGUGAGUAACGCGUGGGGAAUCUGCCUUUGAGCGGGGGACAACAUUUGGAAACGAAUGCUAAUACCGCAUAAAAACUUUAAACACAAGUUUUAAGUUUGAAAGAUGCAAUUGCAUCACUCAAAGAUGAUCCCGCGUUGUAUUAGCUAGUUGGUGAGGUAAAGGCUCACCAAGGCGAUGAUACAUAGCCGACCUGAGAGGAUGAUCGGCCACAUUGGGACUGAGACACGGCCCAAACUCCUACGGGAGGCAGCAGUAGGGAAUCUUCGGCAAUGGACGAAAGUCUGACCGAGCAACGCCGCGUGAGUGAAGAAGGUUUUCGGAUCGUAAAACUCUGUUGGUAGAGAAGAACGUUGGUGAGAGUGGAAAGCUCAUCAAGUGACGGUAACUACCCAGAAAGGGACGGCUAACUACGUG